CUCUUAUUCAGAGCAAUGGAGACCAAGGAUCUGUGAUAUUGCGGCAACCCCCAUGAGGAAGGUGCCAACCUGAGCGAGUAACAUCGAACAAUAAGAG
This 97-nucleotide non-coding RNA is filed under the name Pseudocoprococcus catus. RNAcentral describes it as "Coprococcus catus SAM-I sequence". It matches the Rfam family "SAM riboswitch aptamer (S box leader)". From Rfam's summary of the family: The SAM riboswitch is found upstream of a number of genes which code for proteins involved in methionine or cysteine biosynthesis in Gram-positive bacteria. The record is from Rfam by way of RNAcentral. Lineage: Bacteria; Bacillati; Bacillota; Clostridia; Lachnospirales; Lachnospiraceae.